GACGAACGCUGGCGGCGUGCUUAACACAUGCAAGUCGAGCGGUAAGGCCCUUCGGGUACACGAGCGGCGAACGGGUGAGUAACACGUGGGUGACCUGCCUUUAGCUCUGGGAUAAGCCUGGGAAACUGGGUCUAAUACCGGAUAUGACCUCAUGACGCAUGUUGUGGGGUGGAAAGCCUUGUGCGGCUAGAGAUGGGCCCGCGGCCUAUCAGCUUGUUGGUGGGGUGAUGGCCACCAAGGCGACGACGGGUAGCCGGCCUGAGAGGGCGACCGGCCACACUGGGACUGAGACACGGCCCAGACUCCUACGGGAGGCAGCAGUGGGGAAUCUUGCGCAAUGGGCGAAAGCCUGACGCAGCGACGCCGCGUGAGGGAUGAC
RNAcentral lists this ribosomal RNA (379 nucleotides) under uncultured bacterium. RNAcentral's name for it is "bacterial SSU rRNA". It matches the Rfam family "Bacterial small subunit ribosomal RNA", at positions 28 to 412 of the family's 1533-position model. The record is from RNAcentral.